GUCACAUCCAGGACAAACAAGAGAAGUCCUUUUAACCAAAUAGGACUCCUAUAUAACAAGAGUCUUUGAGAAGAGAGUCGUAUGACCUAAGAUGUCCCCUCCAACUACUUUGGUCCAACACCAUAUGGAAGCUGCCAAGGCUUGAAGCAAUGGCCUAAGCUGGAUCUCGACCCCUUUUAGCCACAGCUGAAACUGGAAUGGCUGGGAUGCAGGACACCAAGUCCCAAGGCUGCACAGAGCAACAGGUCCCUGGGCCAGGCCCAGAUACCUGAAGUGGUUUUGAAGACUGGGCAGCUAAGACCUAAGUGAAGAAGAAUUCCUCCCCUGCAAGGAUGACCAAGAACCCAGCCGCUCUGUUUCCUUCCCGACUGGAGUCCUCUUCUCCACUGAUCUUCAGGCUCGUGUGGAAAAACCGAUAAAAUAGAAAAAGCAAUCGGAAGAAUAUAAAAAUCACUGAUAAUCCCGCCACCUAGAGAAAACUACUGUUAGUAUUUUGAGUGUAUUUCCCUCCAGCUUUUUUCUAUAUAUGUGUAUGUAUUUAUAAUAUAUAAAUAAUAUACUAUAUAUUAAUCAAAUACUAUAUAUAAUAAAUACAUUAUAUAUCUUA
RNAcentral lists this long non-coding RNA (607 nucleotides) under Homo sapiens (human). RNAcentral describes it as "HSALNT0324003". The record is from RNAcentral. Lineage: Eukaryota; Metazoa; Chordata; Mammalia; Primates; Hominidae.